This 374-nucleotide ribosomal RNA is filed under the name uncultured organism. RNAcentral describes it as "partial 16S ribosomal RNA". It matches the Rfam family "Bacterial small subunit ribosomal RNA", at positions 527 to 896 of the family's 1533-position model. The record is from RNAcentral.
GUAGGUGGCAAGCGUUGUCCGGAAUUAUUGGGCGUAAAGCGCGCGCAGGCGGGUUCUUUAAGUCUGAUGUGAAAGCCCACGGGCUCAACCGUGGAGGGUCAUUGGAAACUGGAGAACUUGAGUACAGAAGAGGAAAGCGGAAUUCCACGUGUAGCGGUGAAAUGCGUAGAGAUGUGGAGGAACACCAGUGGCGAAGGCGGCUUUCUGGUCUGUAACUGACGCUGAGGCGCGAAAGCGUGGGGAGCAAACAGGAUUAGAUACCCUGGUAGUCCACGCCGUAAACGAUGAGUGCUAAGUGUUAGGGGGUUUCCGCCCCUUAGUGCUGUAGCUAACGCAUUAAGCACUCCGCCUGGGGAGUACGGCCGCAAAGGCUG